AGCAGCCGCGGUAAUUCCAGCUCCAAUAGCGUAUAUUAAAGUUGUUGCAGUUAAAAAGCUCGUAGUUGAAUUUUGGGUUCUUCCAGUUGGUCCAUCUUUUAGAUGAGUACUGGUUGUGUGGGGUCUAUCCGCCUGGUGAUACGUAAUGUCCUUUAUUGGAUGUUGCGGGUAGUCAGGACCUUUACCUUGAAAAAAUUAGAGUGUUUAAAGCAGGCUUAUGCCGGAAUACAUUAGCAUGGAAUAAUAGAAUAGGACGAAGUUGUUUUAUUUUGUUGGUUUCUAGGACAACCGUAAUGAUUAAUAGGGAUAGUUGGGGGCAUUAGUAUUCAAUUGUCAGAGGUGAAAUUCUUGGAUUUAUUGAAGACUAACUACUGCGAAAGCAUUUGCCAAGGAUGUUUUCAUUAAUCAAGAACGAAAGUUAGGGGAUCGAAGACGAUCAGAUACCGUCGUAGUCUUAACCAUAAACUAUGCCGACUAGGGAUCGGGCGAUGUUGUUUCCAUGACUCGCUCGGCACCUUAUGG
This 522-nucleotide ribosomal RNA is filed under the name uncultured Archaeospora. RNAcentral's name for it is "SSU rRNA". It matches the Rfam family "Eukaryotic small subunit ribosomal RNA", at positions 569 to 1093 of the family's 1831-position model. Lineage: Eukaryota; Fungi; Glomeromycota; Glomeromycetes; Archaeosporales; Archaeosporaceae. The record is from RNAcentral.